CAGCUGGAGAGAUGGCUCAGCUGUUAAAGGCUAGGCUCACAACCAAAA
RNAcentral lists this microRNA precursor (48 nucleotides) under Cricetulus griseus (Chinese hamster). RNAcentral's name for it is "miRNA (ENSCGRG00015042101.1)". Lineage: Eukaryota; Metazoa; Chordata; Mammalia; Rodentia; Cricetidae. The record is from RNAcentral.